RNAcentral lists this ribosomal RNA (473 nucleotides) under uncultured bacterium. Its description in RNAcentral is "bacterial SSU rRNA". It matches the Rfam family "Bacterial small subunit ribosomal RNA", at positions 28 to 507 of the family's 1533-position model. The record is from RNAcentral.
GAUGAACGCUAGCUACAGGCUUAACACAUGCAAGUCGAGGGGCAGCAUUAUCGAAGCUUGCUUUGAUAGAUGGCGACCGGCGCACGGGUGAGUAACGCGUAUCCAACCUUCCCCAUAGUCAGGAAUAGCCCGGCGAAAGUCGAAUUAAUGCCUGAUGUUUUCCACGGACGGCAUCUGAUGUGGAACAAAGAUUCAUCGCUAUGGGAUGGGGAUGCGUCUGAUUAGCUUGUUGGCGGGGUAACGGCCCACCAAGGCAACGAUCAGUAGGGGUUCUGAGAGGAAGGUCCCCCAUAUUGGAACUGAGACACGGUCCAAACUCCUACGGGAGGCAGCAGUGAGGAAUAUUGGUCAAUGGGCGGAAGCCUGAACCAGCCAAGUAGCGUGAGGGAUGACUGCCCUAUGGGUUGUAAACCUCUUUUUAUAAGGGAAGAGCAGAAGACGGUACCCUUGAAUAAGCCACGGCUAACUACGUG